AAAACUUCAUCUUCUUCCUAAACUCUCUCUCAGGGCCGAACCUAUUCCCAUUCUUCCUCCAUGGAUUCUCAUCUUCCAAGCUUAAAAUCCCUUCCAUUCUCACAAUAAUCUUCAUAAGUUCCUUCAUUAAAAUUCAUCCCCACACCUUGGGAAGUCAAUUGGAAGCUAAGAAAGAGUAGAUUGGUGAAGUUUUGGCAACUUGAAGAAGUGUCUAUUAAAGGUACUAGAAACCAAACACAGCCACAGCAGCAGCUGCAGCAGUAGUGCCUUAAUAGAGAUUGACCAGAUCUAACAGUGCCUGCUAGUCACCUCAACAAUAUUUAUUUUGGUAGGGCCUAUGUUAUUAGAUUUUGUAUUUUGAUUUAUUGUACAUAAGUAGAUACAGUGUAGCUCAUUUUGAAUAUUUUAAAUAAAUUGUAAUUAUAUUUUGGAUUGUAAAUGAAGCUG
Molecule: unclassified non-coding RNA, 447 nt
Filed under: Hevea brasiliensis (rubber tree)
Lineage: Eukaryota; Viridiplantae; Streptophyta; Magnoliopsida; Malpighiales; Euphorbiaceae
Source: RNAcentral